UAUUGAAAUUUUCAUCCAGUUCUAUUGUUAAAAACUGAAUUAGCUAACCGAAAAAUCAGACAAUGACAUGUGGUGUGUUAUAUGUACCUCAUGUUGACAUACAAGAAUCAACUUUUAACAGAAAAGACUAGUUUGUUAUUUGAUCU
This is a non-coding RNA of Gossypium raimondii (Peruvian cotton), 146 nucleotides long. NCBI's taxonomy places the organism in Eukaryota, Viridiplantae, Streptophyta, Magnoliopsida, Malvales, Malvaceae. The record is from Rfam.